This 389-nucleotide ribosomal RNA is filed under the name Protobothrops sieversorum (Three horned-scaled pitviper). Its description in RNAcentral is "partial 12S ribosomal RNA". Lineage: Eukaryota; Metazoa; Chordata; Lepidosauria; Squamata; Viperidae. The record is from RNAcentral.
UAAAUUCCAAUUGCCCGCCAAACAACUACGAGUCGUACUUGAAACUUAAAAGACUUGACGGUACUUCACCCCGACCUAGAGGAGCCUGUCCAAUAACCGACGAUCCACGAUUAACCCCACCCUUUCUCGCCCAACAGUCUAUAUACCGCCGUCGCCAGCUUACCUUGUAAAAGAAAUAAAGUGAGCUAAACAGUACUACACUAAAACGACAGGUCGAGGUGUAACCAAUGGAAGGGACCAAGAUGGGCUACAUUCUCAAACCGAGAAUACGAAUAGCACUACGAAACUAGUGCCUGAAGGCGGAUUUAGCAGUAAGAUAGGAACAAAACACCUGGCUGAACAUAACGCAAUGAAGUGCGUACACACCGCCCGUCAUCCCUGCCACCACC